AGCUAAUAGAUACCCGGGUAGUCCUGGCCUUAAACGAUGGAUGCUUGGUGUCUGGAGUUUUAUAGUCUCCGGGUGCCGUAGCUAAACGCGUUAAGCAUCCCGCCUGGGGAGUACGGUCGCAAGACUGAAACUCAAAGGAAUUGACGGGGGACCCGCACAAGCGGUGGAGCAUGUGGUUCAAUUCGACGCAACGCGAAGAACCUUACCUGGGCUAGAAUGCCUCUGACAACUCCAGAGAUGGAGCUUUCUAGGGAAACCUAGACGGAGUGCAAGGUGCUGCAUGGCUGUCGUCAGCUCGUGUCGUGAGAUGUUGGGUUAAAUCCCGCAACGAGCGCAACCCUUAUCGGAUAGUUGCUAGCGGUUCGGCCGAGCACUCUAUUGAGACUGCCGUUGACAAACGGUGAAGUGGGA
RNAcentral lists this ribosomal RNA (411 nucleotides) under uncultured bacterium. RNAcentral describes it as "bacterial SSU rRNA". It matches the Rfam family "Bacterial small subunit ribosomal RNA", at positions 767 to 1176 of the family's 1533-position model. The record is from RNAcentral.